This 320-nucleotide ribosomal RNA is filed under the name uncultured soil bacterium. RNAcentral describes it as "bacterial SSU rRNA". It matches the Rfam family "Bacterial small subunit ribosomal RNA", at positions 26 to 346 of the family's 1533-position model. The record is from RNAcentral.
AGAUUGAACGCUGGCGGCAUGCUUUUACACAUGCAAGUCGAACGGUAACAGGCCGCAAGGUGCUGACGAGUGGCGAACGGGUGAGUAAUGCAUCGGAACGUGCCCAGUCGUGGGGGAUAACGCAGCGAAAGCUGUGCUAAUACCGCAUACGAUCUAUGGAUGAAAGCGGGGGACCGAAAGGCCUCGCGCGAUUGGAGCGGCCGAUGUCAGAUUAGCUAGUUGGUGGGGUAAAGCCCACCAAGGCGACGAUCUGUAGCUGGUCUGAGAGGACGACCACGCCUACACUGGAACUGAGACACGGUCCAGACCUCCGUACGGGA